This 448-nucleotide ribosomal RNA is filed under the name uncultured bacterium. Its description in RNAcentral is "bacterial SSU rRNA". It matches the Rfam family "Bacterial small subunit ribosomal RNA", at positions 340 to 782 of the family's 1533-position model. The record is from RNAcentral.
UACGGAAGGCAGCAGUGGGGAAUAUUGCACAAUGGGCGCAAGCCUGAUGCAGCCAUGCCGCGUGUAUGAAGAAGGCCUUCGGGUUGUAAAGUACUUUCAGUCGUGAGGAAGGUGUUAAGGUUAAUAACCUUAGCAAUUGACGUUAGCGACAGAAGAAGCACCGGCUAACUCCGUGCCAGCAGCCGCGGUAAUACGGAGGGUGCGAGCGUUAAUCGGAAUUACUGGGCGUAAAGGGCACGCAGGCGGUUAAUUAAGUUGGAUGUGAAAUCCCCGGGCUUAACCUGGGAAUGGCAUUCAAGACUGGUUAGCUAGAGUCUUGUAGAGGGGGUAGAAUUCCGAUGUGUAGCGGUGAAAUGCGUAGAGAUGUGGAGGAAUACCGGUGCGAAGGCGGCCCCUGGACAAAGACUGACGCUCAUGUGCGAAAGCGUGGGGAGCAAACAGGAUUAGA